RNAcentral lists this ribosomal RNA (506 nucleotides) under uncultured bacterium. RNAcentral describes it as "partial 16S ribosomal RNA". It matches the Rfam family "Bacterial small subunit ribosomal RNA", at positions 29 to 523 of the family's 1533-position model. The record is from RNAcentral.
AGUGAACGCUGGCGGUAGGCCUAACACAUGCAAGUCGAACGGCAGCACAGGAGAGCUUGCUCUCUGGGUGGCGAGUGGCGGACGGGUGAGGAAUACAUCGGAAUCUACUUUUUCGUGGGGGAUAACGUAGGGAAACUUACGCUAAUACCGCAUACGACCUACGGGUGAAAGCAGGGGAUCUUCGGACCUUGCGCGAUUGAAUGAGCCGAUGUCGGAUUAGCUAGUUGGCGGGGUAAAGGCCCACCAAGGCGACGAUCCGUAGCUGGUCUGAGAGAGUGAUCAGCCACACUGGAACUGAGACACGGUCCAGACUCCUACGGGAGGCAGCAGUGGGGAAUAUUGGACAAUGGGCGCAAGCCUGAUCCAGCCAUACCGCGUGGGUGAAGAAGGCCUUCGGGCUGUAAAGCCCUUUUGUUGGGAAAGAAAUCCAGCUGGUUAAUAUCCGGUUGGGAUGACGGUACCCAAAGAAUAAGCACCGGCUAACUUCGUGCCAGCCGCCGCGGUAA